Molecule: ribosomal RNA, 497 nt
Filed under: uncultured bacterium
Lineage: Bacteria
Description: partial 16S ribosomal RNA
Rfam family: Bacterial small subunit ribosomal RNA
Source: RNAcentral
GAUGAACGCUGGCGGCGUGCCUAAUACAUGCAAGUCGAGCGAACAGACGAGGAGCUUGCUCCUCUGACGUUAGCGGCGGACGGGUGAGUAACACGUGGAUAACCUACCUAUAAGACUGGGAUAACUUCGGGAAACCGGAGCUAAUACCGGAUAAUAUAUUGAACCGCAUGGUUCAAUAGUGAAAGACGGUUUUGCUGUCACUUAUAGAUGGAUCCGCGCCGCAUUAGCUAGUUGGUAAGGUAACGGCUUACCAAGGCAACGAUGCGUAGCCGACCUGAGAGGGUGAUCGGCCACACUGGAACUGAGACACGGUCCAGACUCCUACGGGAGGCAGCAGUAGGGAAUCUUCCGCAAUGGGCGAAAGCUUGACGGAGCAACGCCGCCUGAGUGAUGAAGGUCUUCGGAUCGUAAAACUCUGUUAUUAGGGAAGAACAAAUGUGUAAGUAACUAUGCACGUCUUGACGGUACCUAAUCAGAAAGCCACGGCUAACUACGUG